RNAcentral lists this ribosomal RNA (550 nucleotides) under uncultured bacterium. RNAcentral's name for it is "bacterial SSU rRNA". It matches the Rfam family "Bacterial small subunit ribosomal RNA", at positions 355 to 896 of the family's 1533-position model. The record is from RNAcentral.
UAGGGAAUCUUCGGCAAUGGGGGGAACCCUGACCGAGCAACGCCGCGUGAGUGAAGAAGGUUUUCGGAUCGUAAAGCUCUGUUGUUAAGGAAGAACGAGUGUGAGAAUGGAAAGUUCAUACUGUGACGGUACUUAACCAGAAAGGGACGGCUAACUACGUGCCAGCAGCCGUGGUAAUACGUAGGUCCCGAGCGUUGUCCGGAUUUAUUGGGCGUAAAGCGAGCGCAGGCGGUUAGAUAAGUCUGAAGUUAAAGGCAGUGGCUCAACCAUUGUAGGCUUUGGAAACUGUUUAACUUGAGUGCAGAAGGGGAGAGUGGAAUUCCAUGUGUAGCGGUGAAAUGCGUAGAUAUAUGGAGGAACACCGGUGGCGAAAGCGGCUCUCUGGUCUGUAACUGACGCUGAGGCUCGAAAGCGUGGGGAGCGAACAGGAUUAGAUACCCUGGUAGUCCACGCCGUAAACGAUGAGUGCUAGGUGUUAGGUCCUUUCCGGGACUUAGUGCCGCAGCUAACGCAUUAAGCACUCCGCCUGGGGAGUACGACCGCAAGGUUG